UUGCUGGUGGAUUAGUGGCGAACGGGUGAGUAACACGUGAGUAACCUGCCCUUAACUCUGGGAUAAGCCUGGGAAACUGGGUCUAAUACCGGAUAUGACUCCUCAUCGCAUGGUGGGGGGUGGAAAGCUUUAUUGUGGUUUUGGAUGGACUCGCGGCCUAUCAGCUUGUUGGUGAGGUAAUGGCUCACCAAGGCGACGACGGGUAGCCGGCCUGAGAGGGUGACCGGCCACACUGGGACUGAGACACGGCCCAGACUCCUACGGGAGGCAGCAGUGGGGAAUAUUGCACAAUGGGCGAAAGCCUGAUGCAGCGACGCCGCGUGAGGGAUGACGGCCUUCGGGUUGUAAACCUCUUUCAGUAGGGAAGAAGCGAAAGUGACGGUACCUGCAGAAGAAGCGCCGGCUAACUACGUGCCAGCAGCCGCGGUAAUACGUAGGGCGCAAGCGUUAUCCGGAAUUAUUGGGCGUAAAGAGCUCGUAGGCGGUUUGUCGCGUCUGCCGUGAAAGUCCGGGGCUCAACUCCGGAUCUGCGGUGGGUACGGGCAGACUAGAGUGAUGUAGGGGAGACUGGAAUUCCUGGUGUAGCGGUGAAAUGCGCAGAUAUCAGGAGGAACACCGAUGGCGAAGGCAGGUCUCUGGGCAUUAACUGACGCUGAGGAGCGAAAGCAUGGGGAGCGAACAGGAUUAGAUACCCUGGUAGUCCAUGCCGUAAACGUUGGGCACUAGGUGUGGGGGACAUUCCACGUUUUCCGCGCCGUAGCUAACGCAUUAAGUGCCCCGCCUGGGGAGUACGGCCGCAAGGCUAAAACUCAAAGGAAUUGACGGGGGCCCGCACAAGCGGCGGAGCAUGCGGAUUAAUUCGAUGCAACGCGAAGAACCUUACCAAGGCUUGACAUGAACCGGAAAUACCUGGAAACAGGUGCCCCGCUUGCGGUCGGUUUACAGGUGGUGCAUGGUUGUCGUCAGCUCGUGUCGUGAGAUGUUGGGUUAAGUCCCGCAACGAGCGCAACCCUCGUUCUAUGUUGCCAGCGCGUUAUGGCGGGGACUCAUAGGAGACUGCCGGGGUCAACUCGGAGGAAGGUGGGGACGACGUCAAAUCAUCAUGCCCCUUAUGUCUUGGGCUUCACGCAUGCUACAAUGGCCGGUACAAAGGGUUGCGAUACUGUGAGGUGGAGCUAAUCCCAAAAAGCCGGUCUCAGUUCGGAUUGGGGUCUGCAACUCGACCCCAUGAAGUCGGAGUCGCUAGUAAUCGCAGAUCAGCAACGCUGCGGUGAAUACGUUCCCGGGCCUUGUACACACCGCCCGUCAAGUCACGAAAGUUGGUAACACCCGAAGCCGGUGGCCUAACCCCUUG
RNAcentral lists this ribosomal RNA (1354 nucleotides) under Arthrobacter ginsengisoli. Its description in RNAcentral is "bacterial SSU rRNA". It matches the Rfam family "Bacterial small subunit ribosomal RNA", at positions 81 to 1445 of the family's 1533-position model. Lineage: Bacteria; Bacillati; Actinomycetota; Actinomycetes; Micrococcales; Micrococcaceae. The record is from RNAcentral.